This 3488-nucleotide long non-coding RNA is filed under the name Homo sapiens (human). Its description in RNAcentral is "HSALNT0293214". The record is from RNAcentral. Lineage: Eukaryota; Metazoa; Chordata; Mammalia; Primates; Hominidae.
UCCUUCCUUCUUUCUUUACUUCCUUCCUUCCUUCCUUCCUUCCUCCUCCCCCGAUAUUCUGUUACAACGGAUAUAACGGAUUUACUUUGAGAAAACAGAACUGGAAUGCAGUUUCUUGCUUAGUUUAAAGUGAACUGCUAAGGGAAACAUGUUUCCCGGACUUCUCAGAUAAACCCUCUGCAAUCUCUUGGGUUCCUUUCUCCGUUCCUUCUUUAAGAACAUUCUCAAAGCUUUCGUCUAUUGGCAUCGGCUUGGUCUCCACAUCUGCUUUUGUUAUUUCUUGGUCUUCAAUUUCAAUUUCUAAGGAUUCCUCAAUUGGAAGUGACACCUCCCCAUCCUGACUUGAUGAUUUCUUCAUGGAGCAGUGGAAAGAACGUAGUCCAGAAAUUAGAAGGUUUUGGUCCAUGGCACAGGAAAUGUCCAGAAAAGAAAAUCUGUACAGUCAGAAAGCAGAUCAGUGUCUUCCUGGGGCUGUCUAUGAGACAAGGACCAACUGUCAAAGAGAACAAGGGAACUUCCUGAAGUGCUGGAGAUGUCCUACACCUAGUCUGUGAUAAUGACUGCACAACUCUGUACAAUUCUAAAAAGAAAUUGAAUUAUAUGCUUACAAUGAAUAAAUUUUAUGGCAUUUAAUUCACACCUCAAUAAAGCUAUUUUUUAAAACUGAAAAAAAAGUCAAUGAUAAAAGAAAAAUAAGAAACAGGGCUGAGUGUGGUGGCUAAAGCCUGUAAUCCCAAUGCUUUGUGAGGCCAAGGCAGGGAGAUUGCUGGAGUCCAGGAGUUUGAGACCAGACUGGGCAACAUAGCAAGACCCUAUCUCUAUAAAAAAUAUUUAAAAAUUAGCUGGGCAUGGCUGAGAUAGGAAGAUCACUUUACCCUAGGAGUUCAAGGCUAUAGUGACUAUGAUUGUGGCACUGCACUCUAGUCUGGGUGAGAGAGAGACUGUCUCUUAAAAAAGAAAAAAAUUAAAAACCGUUAAUAUAAGUCAAAGCACAAUGAACUGCUUCAGUUUUGAGUGCUGACUGAAAGCUAUUGGGAUAAAACAGAGUAGAAGUCAGUGAGAAAGCUGCACAGCCUUAAUCUGAGUCCUAAAAGAUGGGUAAGAUUUGAAUUUGAAAAGGAGAAAAGAGAAAGUAUUAUAGACAAAGGAAAUAGCACAAGCAAAGGAAAAAUAAUAGUGCGUAUGGGACAAGUGAAGCAGCUGUAUUUGCCACAGCAUAAUGAGGAAUGCACAGAUAGAUGCAACAGGAUCCGGUUAUGGAAAUACAGGAAAAUGGGGCAGAAAAGGAAGGGAUUCUAAGAAAGCCAGAAAAAAAUUGUUACUUUAUUUUGCACUUAAAAUGAACCCAGGAAGCCAUGGUUUGUGUUGUCUGAAAAGAUAAACAUGGCAAAUAAAAAUGCCUGUGAAGAAAUUGUACUCUACAAGUAGCAGGAAAUACUCAGUAACUUCAUAGGUGUAUAUAAUAAACAAUCAGCUUGUGGCUUGAAGUCUAAAAUCAAAUUGCAAGACAUCAUGAAUUACCUGGGAAUAAAGGAUGCACUUGCCACCUUUCUAAAUAAUUAAUUUUAUUGUUACUUCUAAUAAAAAGGCAAGACGAAUUAACGAAAGCCAAAUCUUAAUGAGUUUACUGCUCCAAGCACAAUGUUAAAUGCUCCCCCUCCAACUUUUGUUAACAGAAAUCUUUUAAAACCCUAUUCACAUUUUACUGAAUCAUGCACAGCUUUGAUUUGUAGAAAGGGCAGAUUCUUUUCAGUCCAGCUAAAUUGCUAAGAUUGCUGAACCACAAGUCAACUCUGAGCCACCCAACUUUUCAAUUUUGAACAAUUACUUUCCUGGCAAUCAAGGGCAAGCUGAGACAAAAUUAUUGCAUCGACAGGAUUCAAUUAUUUAAGUCCCCAUUCCAUGCUAUUAUUCAAGACUGUCCAAUGCCGUAACAAAACAUCCCAGCAUCAAUAUGUAUGCAAAAUAACACUGACUCAAGUGACACCCUUUUUCCCAUAACCUUUGGUUUUUCACUCUCAUCACAGAGUGUACAUCAUCUACCAGAGAAUCAUUUAGCUAAGCCUCAUUCUUUUUUCAUUUGUAUCUAUCACAUUUUCCAGCAAAUAGAUGUUUUAUAUGCAUUUUGUUGAAUAAAGUGUGAUCUAAAGUCCAGGACAGUUUUCAUCACAUUAAUUCCGACUUUACAGCUAAUUUCAGCAUUCUCCUAAAUCAAUAGCUGAAAGUUAUACUUUAAAAAAAUAAGUGUAUGUAUCUAUGCCACUAUCAUUAGGGGUUUCAUCCCACUUAUAUCAUGAAAAUGUAGGAAACUCCAUGCUACUCAGAAUAGCUCACUGGGGCUGCCUGGAACUGAUCAAGGGCCUUGCACCUAGCCAGGGGCUCGGGAUUUGCUCUCGACUCUGGUCAGAGUGUUACCUUGGGGAGCCACUCCACCUCUGGAAUCAUCUCAUUUUCCUCAACUACAAAACAAAAGGAAUGAACUCUGGAAUGCUACAGCAAAAUAAACAAGGUAAAUUGCAUUCCUACCAAAUACAUAAAAUGGAAAUGGAAAAAAACAGUUUCUGACAUCAUUGAGCAUCAUAUUGUGUUUCACUUUAAGUUGAAACUAUCAUUUAAGUGUUUACCAUUUUUGUGAUGGAAAGUUUUACAUAUGUAAUUCCUCAAUAUGAAUUUAUAGUCUCUCUUUAAGGACAUGAAUUUUAUUUUAAGUAAUAGUCACUGUCUUCAAUUAAUGAGGGAAAUCAGAAAGACUAAAAGUAAAAAUUCCAUGUUUGUCCCCAAUUCUCCCCGUAACUCCUACCAAGAUUAUCCAAAUACGUAUAUUUCUUUUAAUUAGUAAAAAUGCUAUUACUUUUUGGACCCAGUUUCUUAAGCAAGGAAGUAACAAUAUAACCCUGUAAACACUAUUUCUUUUCACUGCUGCUCCCUUGAACUAAAUAUUGAAGAAAAACAUUACAGUAUAAUUUGCAAAAACCUACAUUGCAUAUAAACAUUAUCCUAUGCUGACAAACGUGGAUUUAUGAUCAAAUGAAAGCAAAAAUGUACUAAAAAGCUAUUUAGCCAAAUUCUCCACCAAGUUAUUUAGGUGUGAUUCACCCUGCAGUUUAUUGGAUUUGUGAUUUUAUCUCAACAUACCUCUAAAGAACAAAUUUCCAAUCUGGUAUUUUUCUCUUAGAAUAAUGUAUGGCAUAAUUCACUAUGGCAAGCCAAAUAGUUAACUUGGAAUUUCGGGGACAGCUUAUUCGUGCAACAUUUUAAUGAUCAUAUAUCUCCAUCCCAAAAUUAAUCUGUUACCAGGUUAAAUCACUCCAAAUCCUUUCUUCCACAAUCUGCGAGAGUAAUUGCUGCUUCAGUUUCAAUCAUAGAGCAGUAAAUCUAGAUUUACUUUUAGGCAGCUGGUUUAUAAGUCCCUGGAUAUGCAUAAUUUCAUAAAGUGAUUGAAGUCAUUUUGAUAUUAUAUCAACAGCAGCUUAUCUAUAACAUCAACU